UCAAAAUUGGUUUGUUUUGGGAAUAUUUGUUUGCUCAAUAUGAGUGGGAGGGCGUGAAAGAACAUAUUUUUUGCAUUGAUGAGUUUGAGCCUGGGAAGAGAAACCUUACAAUAGAAUAGAAUAGAAGAGAGAAGAGAAAUCUUACAAUAGAAGAGAAGAGAAGAGAAUCGGAGGGUAAUGGAAGGAUUGGAUGGUUUGAUAGAUAGGCUUUUGGAAGUAAGGAAGAACAGGGGGAAACGGAUUCAACUGGUGGAGUCAGAAAUUCGGAACCUUUGCAGCACGGCCAAAGAUCUGUUUCUAAGCCAGCCAAACCUUCUGGAAUUGGAGGCUCCCAUAAACGUCUGUGGUGAGUUUAUUCAUUCAUGCAUUCACCUUCAUAUUGUUCGAGAUGCUCAUCUACAAUAAAUAAGACAUUCACAAAUUAAAAGAUAAUGUUAAAUGAGUUUAAAUAUUUUAUUAUCAAAAUAAAAUAUAUCAGUCUUAGCAUAUAGAAUAAGAUAUUGAUAUCCAAAAGUGAGUCAAGUUUAUAUUAGAUAGAAAUGGAAAAAUUGAAGAAGAUGAAUAUUAACUCAAUCUACAAAAUUGGAAUAGAGAUGUCUAAAAAACACAAAAUAUAGCUAGGAUAAUUAUGAUUCUGAUAUUAUAUUAAAAGUGGAUUUUAAGUCUGACUCAAUCCAAAAAACUGAUUUGUAAGGUGAGAUUUGCACCUCACUUGUAUAUUAUAAAUGGAUAUAAUCUCUAGUCGACAUGAAACUUCCAAAACACGUUCAGAUAUAGACAUUUCGUAAAUGAUAGUAGAAAUUGGAUGGUCCAAUAAGGAUUCCACAGUCAAUCCAAACAAAAAUACUUACUUAUAACUUACUAUAAUAGGAAAUGAUGAUAAUCUUCUAUGUGAUUGUAUUCAUAUCUAAUGAGUAUUGUAUCUUUAUUUGAACCUCCUCUUCUAUAUAUGCAAAGAUAAAGUGAUACGAAGUUGGUGAAUGAUUGUUUGCAGGGGACAUACACGGGCAGUAUCCAGACCUGUUGCGACUGUUCGAGUACGGUGGGUUUCCGCCGGAUUCCAAUUAUCUAUUCCUGGGAGACUACGUGGACAGAGGAAAACAGAGCGUGGAGACCAUAUGC
RNAcentral lists this long non-coding RNA (1122 nucleotides) under Vigna radiata. RNAcentral's name for it is "long non-coding RNA (VRAD_LNC011330)". Lineage: Eukaryota; Viridiplantae; Streptophyta; Magnoliopsida; Fabales; Fabaceae. The record is from RNAcentral.